This 433-nucleotide ribosomal RNA is filed under the name uncultured bacterium. RNAcentral describes it as "partial 16S ribosomal RNA". It matches the Rfam family "Bacterial small subunit ribosomal RNA", at positions 29 to 507 of the family's 1533-position model. The record is from RNAcentral.
AACGAACGCUGGCGGCAUGCCUAACACAUGCAAGUCGAACGAUGCUUUCGGGCUUAGUGGCGCACGGGUGCGUAACGCGUGGGAAUCUGCCCUUGGGUUCGGAAUAACAGUGAGAAAUUGCUGCUAAUACCGGAUGAUGUCUUCGGACCAAAGAUUUAUCGCCCAGGGAUGAGCCCGCGUAGGAUUAGCUAGUUGGUGGGGUAAUGGCCUACCAAGGCGACGAUCCUUAGCUGGUCUGAGAGGAUGAUCAGCCACACUGGGACUGAGACACGGCCCAGACUCCUACGGGAGGCAGCAGUGGGGAAUAUUGGACAAUGGGCGCAAGCCUGAUCCAGCAAUGACGCGUGAGUGAUGAAGGCCUUAGGGUUGUAAAGCUAUUUUACCCGGGAUGAUAAUGACAGUACCGGGAGAAUAAGCUCCGGCUAACUCCGUG